RNAcentral lists this ribosomal RNA (500 nucleotides) under uncultured bacterium. RNAcentral's name for it is "bacterial SSU rRNA". It matches the Rfam family "Bacterial small subunit ribosomal RNA", at positions 61 to 561 of the family's 1533-position model. The record is from RNAcentral.
GUCGACGAGAAUCUGUGGAACGAGGAUUCGUCCAAGUGAAGCAGAGGACAGUGGCGGACGGGUGAGUAACGCGUGAGGAACCUGCCUUUCAGAGGGGGACAACAGUUGGAAACGACUGCUAAUACCGCAUGACACAUAGAUGUCGCAUGGCAUUUAUGUCAAAGAUUUAUCGCUGAAAGAUGGCCUCGCGUCUGAUUAGCUAGUUGGUGAGGUAACGGCCCACCAAGGCGACGAUCAGUAGCCGGACUGAGAGGUUGAACGGCCACAUUGGGACUGAGAUACGGCCCAGACUCCUACGGGAGGCAGCAGUGGGGAAUAUUGGGCAAUGGGCGCAAGCCUGACCCAGCAACGCCGCGUGAAGGAAGAAGGCUUUCGGGUUGUAAACUUCUUUUGUCAGGGACGAGUAGAAGACGGUACCUGACGAAUAAGCCACGGCUAACUACGUGCCAGCAGCCGCGGUAAUACGUAGGUGGCAAGCGUUGUCCGGAUUUACUGGGUGU